GUGGAUUUCAUUAUAAUCCAAAUUGUAAUAAUUGCCUUUUUAAACUAAGAGAAGCACAGAGUGAUGAGAUGAGACAGAGAGGGCAAAACAGAAGUAAACAUUUAUUUCCUCAUGGUGUCCUUGUGGGCAAGUCCUUCCUUUCUUUCAGUCUCGCUCUCAGUUCAUCCACUGAUGCAGUGGGUUCCCAUACAGUGUGCCCAGGCUCCUGUCGUCCUUGAGAAGUUUCUCCUGUCACCUGAAGGCCCAGCUGUGCCUGUCUUGGCAAUCCCAGCCUGAACACCAGGCUCGCUACCCCUCACCUCUCCUGCUUGCUCUGCCCUGGAUGCUGAGCUCCUCUCACAGAAUCAGAGCACUUUGGAGAAGGCGCAGAUCCUUUACAAAGACAGCUUGUUUUAUGUGAUAGGAAUCAAAUUUACAUAUGCCUUUGUUCUUUGUAAACGCUGGGCUGUUGUUUCGAUGGGAAUAACUUUUCUAACCAAACAGCUGGUAAACUCAUGCGUCACUUUCUGUCCAUCUAAAAUUCUUGCAAAGCUUGUCAAUGUCCAUUUAUGUACAGCUGGCACCUCCAUUUACUGUGUGUGUUCUGUAAGAUCUGUGCCAGGCUGAAAUAAAGGUGGGGAAAAAGUUGGUGCUGUGGUGUUAGGGUGUGCAUGAAUGGAUAUGAGAUGCUGAAAUCUUCUUACAUCUCUUGACUAACACAUAACGUGUUUUUCCCUUAGACUUGUGUGCACUCAUUUCACAUAUUUGAGUGAAAAGCAGAAAAAAAAUCCCCAACAACUGUUUUCAAAAUACUUUCAGCGUUGGCAGUUGUUGCUGAGCAAAAUUUAAAAUGUGAAAAUUAGCACUUCAGCAAAUGCGUGGCUGUGCUUAGCAGGUCUGGCUUUGUGACUAGGGCUGCUGGUUUAUCCAGUAAUGACAUCGUGCUGAGGGCAGUUCUGACUAAGAGGUCUUUACAAAUGCUAUGCGUUCCAAAGAUGUAAACCCUGGCAUACGAUGCGAAAGGCACUUAGACGGUCAAUUAUCCUUGUUAGGAUCUUGUCCAUUAUGGCUUGAGACUGAGUGAUACAGUGAUGUAAAAUAAACAGCUGAGAGAAGAAAAUUGAAAGGAGAUUGAAUACUAUGGUCCACCUUUCUUCAUUGCCAGUAUAUCUCACUUUUAAUUCUGAAUGUGCAAGUCUCCUCACUGUGUUCUUGAACUCCCAAUUGUAUAGGAUUUAUGUUUCAGCACGUCCUGGAACCAUCUAUUUUUGUUUUGUGGCUGCUUUACAUUUUAGUAAACCUCUUCCCUUUCAUUAUAGAAGACCGACAUAAAAAUAAUACUUUCAAUAUGCUGUUUUUAUUUAUCUACAUUCUGUCAUGAUAUACUUUGAUGUAAGUUUUUAAUUUUGCUUCAGCUUUCAGCUGUUGUAGCAGUUACUGCUCAGGGUCAGCGAUGAGGUUAGCCACAGUAGCACAAAACAAUUUCCUGUUCUCACAGCCCAGGUAGCAUUUGGAUGUGGAUUAAAUUUUACCACAUUUUCCAGUAGCCAGACACAAUUAUUUCUAAUGAGCUUUAAAUUGCUUCUAGAGCACAUAUUUCCAAACUUAGUGUGGUGAUCCAUUCAGUGCUAGCGACUUCAUAAGACAGCACUUCUUCUUCCGAGCUGUGGUUAAGCAGGUAUUUCUAAUCAGUGGAUUUGCUUACAAGUGGCUUGCUCACUGUUCUCAAUUGCUGUUCCUCUGUUGUCCUCUCUCCUGCAAUGCUGCUUCCAUAAUAUAUUGUUCUUCAUUACUGACUCGGAUUUCAUCAUCGUUUUCUUUUGGCAAAUUUAUCUUGGCAUUAUUCAUGCUGCUUGUGCCGUUUUGAGAGGUUUUAAUGCACGUUUUGUUGUUCUGGAGGCUUUAAAAAUUAGUUUUUGAAGUUCUGCUCUCAUCUUUACGAUUCAUGUUUUCCUUUUGUUUUCCAUAUAUGGCCACUUUGCUAUCCUGCCCUGGCAUUCUGAACACGUGGAAGGCAUACAUUCAAAACUCAUUUAUGGGGCAGUAAUGAAUAAUAUGAAAUAUGAAACUGGAAAAGACAAGGAACAUUAUUUUUCCCUCUAUAAAUAUGGUGAUCAGAUCCUCUCUCUUGGGACUUUGUCAGAAGAUCAGGUUUAUCCACUGAAACUCAGGGCAUUUCCAUCUGUUACUCUGCACUCAAAUCUGCCUGAUGUGGAAAUUAUAUCCGCUUUGGCUUCUUGGAGUCGUAUGGGGAUGAGCACUUUGACAGCGUACUUCGGGCCUUUGUCAGAACGCUGCUUUCAGCAUCCCACAGUGACUUGCUAAACUGUCAUUUUCUUGCUGGAGGAGACAAAUUCUGGGCAGCUAGAGAUGGUUAACAUCCAGAUUUGUGCCUAUCACAAGAAGGAAAUCCUUACAACUGGAAAAGCUUCUCUCACAAUAUCAAAAGCUAAGUCAGUCUUAUUACCCACUUUUGGAAUGUCUGACCCAAGAUCAUGUGGAUUUCAUUACCAGCUUAGAGCCUCAUGUCCUUACCUCAGUGUCUGGAGGACUUACUGCUCGAGAUGAUGUCAAUCCUAACGAACACCAUCAGUUUGGAAGACUGCAGGAACCAACGGUCUGUGUCAGGACCACUGCUUGGACUUACAGCUCUAGAUGGGAAGGUGAGCAUUUAAGAGGUUCUUCCAGGUGCACUCUUUGAAAUCAUUAUUUCACUUCAGAACAAAGCUGCCUGUGGCUCUUUCAAAUCCCCUUCCUCUUUCCCUGGAACCUAACUCACUUAGCCCCAUGCUAAAGUAAAGCUCAGCUCAUGUACCAGGUAAUAUUUUACAGAUUUGUUCACAAAGGCUGAUGAGAGAAUCUUCUCAAACUUUACUCCAACUUUUACACCCAAUCUUAGAUAAUGCAAAUAUAGCAAACCUCUUUUUUUUUUUUAUCAUUAUUAUUAAUAGAUUUUAAAUCUUUGUUUUUCCAGAAUAAGGUAGAAAUGAUAGGCAAGCUCAUCUGGCUUUUAGAUGCAGCACUGAAACAAGAACACUGUGGAAAUCACGUCAGAAAAAAAUUGCUUCCUAGAAAAAUAGUUAACCAAUUCCUUUUUCUGAAAGGUUUCACAGGAACAAGCAGCUUUGAGGAUAUUAUCUGAGCUCUUACACUUAAGUACCAGCAUUGAUUGCAAUUUGGAUUGUGUUCAUCUGUGGCAAAUCAUAUAAACCAGGAAAUACUCUGCAAUUUGCCCUUUCAAUAAAAUCUGAAACUAUGAAUUUGGAUAUACCCAUCAUGUUUCCCUUGUGACUUAAUAGAGACAAUAUUGUCAGAAAUGGAAACCAUCUGAGUAAAUGAAUGCGAAUCGAUCUAAAUGUGUGCAUUUUUUUGUAUAGCCAGGCAUUGUUCCUGAAGAUACUGACCUGUUGUAUUUGCCACAGUUCAGAGCUGGCUCUAACUUUAUUCUGAAUUGCUUUAUAUCUUGGGCAGUCACAAGCCUCAGUGUAUUACUGCUUUGGAGAAUGAAUUGUCUAUACAAUAAGAGGGUGCUGGAAAAAAAUAAGACACUAAGAUUAGCAGCAACUGCAUACAUUAAAAUUCAAACUGAAAUCCCAGCUAUGGAAGGAAACUAAUAGAAGAAGAAAAUAUAUCAAGAAGAGAAGCGCUGUCUCAUCAUUCACCUGUGCUGAAGGAUCCAAUUUUAGCCAUAUCCAAUAGCACUGUCAUUCAUCUUCUUGGUGUGUUAUUGUGAUUUAAAUCCAGGCUCUAUAAGAGAGAGCAGUUCUUUUAAAAUGAUUGAGAGGGAAUAAGGGCAAAUUCAGUGUUUAGGAAAACUUUAUGACAUCACAAUAUUAUACUUUACAGAUGGAAGCAAUAUUUCCUACUUUGGAAGGAAAACUAAUCAUUUUCUAUCUGCUCUGAGUCACUGCAUCAUUAUAAAAGUGGGAAAUAAGUAGCUUUGUGCGUUCCCAAUCUUGUUCAAGACGACACUUUUGUUUAUAUAAUGCUUCUGAUUUAUAGCGUUUAAGUAUUAGCCUGACUACAUAUUAAUUAUGUGUUUUUUGAUGUUAGCUGCUUCCGUAUGAGAAGAAAUUAAAUAUUUCACUUGAAGAUAAAAUUGUGGAGCUGUAAAUCACAAGAAAUAAAUUUGUGACUGGCAGAAUAUUCUUUUUACUGAAAUUAGGCUGGUUCUAAUGAUUAUGUGUUUUGCUCAGCAGACACAGGUACGUACAAGCGCCGUGACUUAUCAGCAAGCCUUCCAUUUCUUUUGGAAGGAUGGAGAACAGGAAAUAUAAUUUACAGUAUUUGCAUUGCCCGUUUUGCAUGGAGCAUAUUAUUUUGUGUUCAGAAAAAAGUAGGUGAUGUACUUAGAUGUGGCUGUAAGAGUCAUCUUUCCUCGGCUCGUUUCGGUACACCGCCAGCUUAUUUAUUGGAAGCAGAUUGCUUUAUUUCAGGUGGGGUAUCAGUCUGUACAGUUCCUCUGGUAGCAAGCACACAUUAACCACAUUUUACUUUUAUUGUUUGUUCUCGUCUACUUUCGUUUUAAUGAUACUUCCCUUGCUGAUAGUUCGUCUCAAAGGGAAGGCGGCAGGUUUACCUGGGGACUCAGAAUAGCUAGGAUUCAUACUUGCUUGUCCUUAUAGGCUGAGUUAUGCCAAAAUGGGAGUUGUAUACAGAGCCCACCCUAAAACAAUGCUAAAUCUUUUGAGACAGCAUCAGCUUGCUGUCAAAUGAGAUGGUUUCCAGUGGCUCCUGACAUCGUUCCUCUCCCAAAGUGAGGCAGCAAGUUUAAUUUAAAUCCUGAUGGCAGCCAGAAUCCUGGCAUCUCCUUCUUGCUAUUCUUCAACAAAGAAGAUCACAAGCAUGUGUGUGCAUGGGCAGAAGUGAUGUUAUUGCAGAGAAGCCCUAGAAGCCCCUGGGCUCAGAGCAGCUCUGUAGUGCUGGAGCAGCCAUGCCAUGCGAGAGGAGGCUGUCGGCGGGGUUGUUGGACAGAGAUGUAAUUCCUUGCUGUUAGGGAGGGUAUUGGUAAGACUUUCUGUUGUGGGGUUGAUGAAGGAAGCUCUUGGAACACCUCUGUACCUCUAGUACCAGAGAGGAUCUCAGGAUUGCAGCCUUUUCUAGACUGAACUCUGCAUUUGUCACCUUGAGAGAAUGCUUUGGGGAACGUGUUUGUUGCAGACAGAUAUUUCGUCUUUUACGCCUACGUGUUUUUCAAGUUUGAGUUCACAUGUCAGCUAUUUGAUCAGCAGGUGCUGUAGCGACCAGCACGGAAGUGUGAUACAGGAUGUGUCUGUUUUGAAAGGAGCUGGACUGGGGGCUGGUUUUUCACUUCCUAUCGUGGAAUCAUAGAAUGGGUUGAAAGGGACCUUACAGCCCACGUAUCUCCAGCCUCUGCCAUGGGCUGAUUGCUGCCCACCAGAUCAGGCUGCCCAGGAGCCCAUCCAGCCCAAUCUUGGGCACCUCAAGGAUGGGGCACCCACAGGUCCUCUGGGAGACCUGUGCCAGUGCCUCAGCUCUGAGUAUUCCUAUCAUCCUACUGAGUUGUCAUGGGCUUAAAACUAGAAUGCCCUGAUUUUACUACGUUUUCUUUUCUCGUAUUUUUGCAUUAAUAUAAGAGAGCUGCAUUUUUGGUCAGAAGGAAGCUCAUGUUUGAAAUUUAACUGGUUUUAAACUGAGGUGUUAAACAAAUCCCUGGCAUGCAUUUUGGCUAUCUGUAUGAUACCCUGGUGUAUCUUUUUUUUUUUUUUUUUUUUUUUUUUUUUUUGCCUAGCAUUAACUUCAAAAGGCUGUUAACAUUUUGCAUACUAGAAACUCUUUUCAGCCUUCUUUUAAUGAGUUUUCUUGAUGUGCAACUGAAAUGUGGAGAUGAGGUUAGGCUUUCCUCCAUCAGGACGUGUGCCUUUGACCAAACUAGCUUAGCAGUUGUCAGUGUGGUCGCUUAAGCUUUUACCUCUUAAUUUCUGUUGUCAUUCUUGAACCAAAAGGCCACAUUCAUUUUAGAGUGGCUUCUAUAUGUCUGACUUGGUUACUGAUGGUAAAACUUGGACUGGUGGGACUUUCUGUAGCAGUGUCUGUGGACGGAACUGCUAUCCUGCCUCUCGAAUGAUGAGGUGUGGGGAAGGUACUGUAGAAUGGGGUGGAGACCACCAGCAAUAUCCUUCUUGAAUGCUGUGAACCUCUGCCAGAAUAGUUCAUUCACCUCUGAAUAGUUGUCUCUCUCAGUGUUCAUACUGUGGAUGUGCUUAUGCCCAAGGCCAGAAGACUUUGGUCUAUGUAGUCAGUACAGUAAACACUAAACAGGAUUAUACAACUUCUUUGGCUACAGGAAUAGGGUAGCUGAUGACUCUGGAGAUUGCAUCCCAUUCCUUAUUGCUAGGCUAGCCAAAAUUUGUCCAAAGGUGGUAAAAAGUUCUAUUUUAACUAGUCUGUAGAUUAACCAGGACAGAGUGGAUAUAGUAAUACAGAAAAUGUCAUAGAAUGCCUAGCUUCUAAAGAAGCAAGGAUGAGUCUGUCUCAUGUCAGCAGUACAGUGGAUGAGAUCCUGCAGUGAGAUGUGCAAACUUGCACCAUUCAAAAAAGACUUAAAGAGGAGUCGAGGAACAUUUAUAUCACCUCUCUCAGGUGGCUUCAUGUGUUGGAGCUCAGAAAGUGGCCCCUCACUAAAUUGUAGUCGUGAGAUAGGACUGAAGCUGUUGUGGCUCAGGACACCUAAAUCUGCUUGCAGUUUGCCCAGCUCCUCUCACAGAGAGCAGCCUGUGAAGCUUUGUUCAAGAAUGCUCCUGGUGCAGGUGAGUAACUGGCUUUAAACUUCCAAAUCACAUUCCUGAAGUUCUCUGUUUCUUUAUCACAGUACUUCAGUGAGCUGAGGGCAACUUUGAUAAACAGCCAGCCUGGCAGCACACAGCAAGUCCUUGAGCAGUGCUUCAGGAACCGCAUGAAGGGAGUUGAGCAGAAGGUUUCAGUGAAGAACAGAGGCUGGUUCACCCAGAACGUGUCAGUGUUCUGAAGGGACGUGGCUGAGGUGCUGCACAGUGAAGGGGCGGCCGAUGCGGGCAGCUUGGGAAUGAAGAGCUGACAAGGACUGGGGAAAGCAGAGCUGGCUAAUAAAUCUAUUCUGAAAGC
Molecule: RNA transcript, 7083 nt
Organism: Lagopus leucura (white-tailed ptarmigan)
Lineage: Eukaryota; Metazoa; Chordata; Aves; Galliformes; Phasianidae
Gene: RANBP17
Gene name: RAN binding protein 17
Exons: 6
Source: RefSeq, a predicted model, not a curated record